Molecule: small nuclear RNA, 210 nt
Organism: Terrapene triunguis (Three-toed box turtle)
Lineage: Eukaryota; Metazoa; Chordata; Testudines; Emydidae
Gene: U2
Rfam family: U2 spliceosomal RNA
About the family: U2 is a small nuclear RNA (snRNA) component of the spliceosome (involved in pre-mRNA splicing).
Source: Ensembl
AUUGCUUCUUGGCUCUCUAUGAGCUAAGAUCAAAGUGUAGUGUCUGUUCUUAUCAGUUUAAUUUCUUCUGAUGGACAUCUGCAAACACCCGUCCUGAAGAUGGAAUCUUCUGCAGCCAUUUUUGAAAAAAUUGAUGAUGCUUUGAAGAUAUACUCCUGUCAAGGCUGUAUCCCUACUUUGAACUUUAGGGUACAAAUGUAGGGGCCUGCA